RNAcentral lists this ribosomal RNA (377 nucleotides) under uncultured organism. RNAcentral's name for it is "partial 16S ribosomal RNA". It matches the Rfam family "Bacterial small subunit ribosomal RNA", at positions 527 to 896 of the family's 1533-position model. The record is from RNAcentral.
GGGGGGAGCAAGCGUUGUCCGGAAUCACUGGGCGUAAAGGGCGUGUAGGCGGGCAAUCGAGUCAGAUGUAAAAGGCGACGGCUCAACCGUAGUAUGUCAUCUGAUACUGGUUGUCUUGAGUUCGAGAGAGGGUGGUGGAAUUCCCGGUGUAGCGGUGAAAUGCGUAGAUAUCGGGAAGAACACCUGAUGCGAAGGCGGCCACCUGGAUCGAUACCGACGCUGAGGCGCGAAAGCGUGGGGUAGCAAACAGGAUUAGAUACCCUGGUAGUCCACGCUGUAAACGAUGGGCACUAGGUGUUGGUCCCCGCUACUGGCGGGGUCGGUGCCGCAGCUAACGCAUUAAGUGCCCCCGCCUGGGGAGUACGCUCGCAAGGGUG